GCUGGCGGCGUGCUUAACACAUGCAAGUCGAACGAUGAUCCCAGCUUGCUGGGGGAUUAGUGGCGAACGGGUGAGUAACACGUGAGUAACCUGCCCUUGACUCUGGGAUAAGCCUGGGAAACCGGGUCUAAUACUGGAUAUGACCUUCUGGCGCAUGCCAUGUUGGUGGAAAGCUUUAUUGCGGUUUUGGAUGGACUCGCGGCCUAUCAGCUUGUUGGUGGGGUAAUGGCCUACCAAGGCGACGACGGGUAGCCGGCCUGAGAGGGUGGACGGCCACACUGGGACUGAGACACGGCCCAGACUCCUACGGGAGGCAGCAGUGGGGAAUAUUGCACAAUGGGCGCAAGCCUGAUGCAGCGACGCCGCGUGGGGGAUGAAGGCCUUCGGGUUGUAAACCUCUUUCAGUAGGGAAGAAGCGAAAGUGACGGUACCUGCAGAAGAAGCGCCGGCUAACUACGUGCCAGCAGCCGCGGUAAUACGUAGGGCGCAAGCGUUAUCCGGAAUUAUUGGGCGUAAAGAGCUCGUAGGCGGUUUGUCGCGUCUGCCGUGAAAGUCCGGGGCUUAACUCCGGAUCUGCGGUGGGUACGGGCAGACUAGAGUGAUGUAGGGGAGACUGGAAUUCCUGGUGUAGCGGUGAAAUGCGCAGAUAUCAGGAGGAACACC
This 663-nucleotide ribosomal RNA is filed under the name Arthrobacter sp. CAL581. RNAcentral's name for it is "bacterial SSU rRNA". It matches the Rfam family "Bacterial small subunit ribosomal RNA", at positions 35 to 710 of the family's 1533-position model. Lineage: Bacteria; Bacillati; Actinomycetota; Actinomycetes; Micrococcales; Micrococcaceae. The record is from RNAcentral.